UGGGGUGUAGCUUAGUGGUAAAACAUAUGCUUAACGUGCAUAAGGCCUAGGGUCCAAUCUCUAGCAUCCAAA
This 72-nucleotide transfer RNA is filed under the name Heterocephalus glaber (naked mole-rat). It matches the Rfam family "tRNA". From Rfam's summary of the family: Transfer RNA (tRNA) molecules are approximately 80 nucleotides in length. Lineage: Eukaryota; Metazoa; Chordata; Mammalia; Rodentia; Bathyergidae. The record is from Rfam by way of RNAcentral.